Molecule: ribosomal RNA, 253 nt
Filed under: uncultured bacterium
Lineage: Bacteria
Description: partial 16S ribosomal RNA
Rfam family: Bacterial small subunit ribosomal RNA
Source: RNAcentral
GACGUAGGAGGCGAGCGUUGUCCGGAUUCAUUGGGCGUAAAGAGCACGCAGGCGGUUUGGCAAGUCGGACGUGAAAAUCCGGGGCUCAACCCCGGACCUGCAUCCGAAACUGCCCGACUAGAGGUAGGUAGGGGAGAUCGGAAUUCCUGGUGUAGCGGUGAAAUGCGCAGAUAUCAGGAGGAACACCGGUGGCGAAGGCGGAUCUCUGGGCCUUACCUGACGCUCAGGCGCGAUAGCGUGGGGAUCAAACAGG